RNAcentral lists this unclassified non-coding RNA (218 nucleotides) under Hevea brasiliensis (rubber tree). Lineage: Eukaryota; Viridiplantae; Streptophyta; Magnoliopsida; Malpighiales; Euphorbiaceae. The record is from RNAcentral.
UUACUUGAUACAAUAAUGUAUAAAGAAGUUGGCCAUGGACAUCUCAUUGCUUGCUUUGCUGGACCUCAAAUUGCUUAUAGAAACAAAACUGAUUUGGGAUGAGAUUACAUACUCACAUGGACCACUUUGUUUGCCACCCAAAACCAAAAUCCAGCUCUGAGCUUCCAAUUGUAAGAGUAAGAGUUGGAGUCUCCCCAUUGUUUGUGUAUGCAUACCAG